This 1444-nucleotide ribosomal RNA is filed under the name uncultured organism. RNAcentral's name for it is "SSU rRNA". It matches the Rfam family "Bacterial small subunit ribosomal RNA". The record is from RNAcentral.
CGGCGGCAGGCCUAACACAUGCAAGUCGAACGGUAACAGAAAGCAGCUUGCUGCUUUGCUGACGAGUGGCGGACGGGUGAGUAAUGUCUGGGAAACUGCCCGAUGGAGGGGGAUAACUACUGGAAACGGUAGCUAAUACCGCAUAACGUCGCAAGACCAAAGAGGGGGACCUUCGGGCCUCUUGCCAUCGGAUGUGCCCAGAUGGGAUUAGCUAGUAGGUGGGGUAACGGCUCACCUAGGCGACGAUCCCUAGCUGGUCUGAGAGGAUGACCAGCCACACUGGAACUGAGACACGGUCCAGACUCCUACGGGAGGCAGCAGUGGGGAAUAUUGCACAAUGGGCGCAAGCCUGAUGCAGCCAUGCCGCGUGUAUGAAGAAGGCCUUCGGGUUGUAAAGUACUUUCAGCGGGGAGGAAGGGAGUAAAGUUAAUACCUUUGCUCAUUGACGUUACCCGCAGAAGAAGCACCGGCUAACUCCGUGCCAGCAGCCGCGGUAAUACGGAGGGUGCAAGCGUUAAUCGGAAUUACUGGGCGUAAAGCGCACGCAGGCGGUUUGUUAAGUCAGAUGUGAAAUCCCCGGGCUCAACCUGGGAACUGCAUCUGAUACUGGCAAGCUUGAGUCUCGUAGAGGGGGGUAGAAUUCCAGGUGUAGCGGUGAAAUGCGUAGAGAUCUGGAGGAAUACCGGUGGCGAAGGCGGCCCCCUGGACGAAGACUGACGCUCAGGUGCGAAAGCGUGGGGAGCAAACAGGAUUAGAUACCCUGGUAGUCCACGCCGUAAACGAUGUCGACUUGGAGGUUGUGCCCUUGAGGCGUGGCUUCCGGAGCUAACGCGUUAAGUCGACCGCCUGGGGAGUACGGCCGCAAGGUUAAAACUCAAAUGAAUUGACGGGGGCCCGCACAAGCGGUGGAGCAUGUGGUUUAAUUCGAUGCAACGCGAAGAACCUUACCUGGUCUUGACAUCCACGGAAGUUUUCAGAGAUGAGAAUGUGCCUUCGGGAACCGUGAGACAGGUGCUGCAUGGCUGUCGUCAGCUCGUGUUGUGAAAUGUUGGGUUAAGUCCCGCAACGAGCGCAACCCUUAUCCUUUGUUGCCAGCGGUCCGGCCGGGAACUCAAAGGAGACUGCCAGUGAUAAACUGGAGGAAGGUGGGGAUGACGUCAAGUCAUCACGGCCCUUACGACCAGGGCUACACACGUGCUACAAUGGCGCAUACAAAGAGAAGCGACCUCGCGAGAGCAAGCGGACCUCAUAAAGUGCGUCGUAGUCCGGAUUGGAGUCUGCAACUCGACUCCAUGAAGUCGGAAUCGCUAGUAAUCGUGGAUCAGAAUGCCACGGUGAAUACGUUCCCGGGCCUUGUACACACCGCCCGUCACACCAUGGGAGUGGGUUGCAAAAGAAGUAGGUAGCUUAACCUUCAGGGGGGCGCUUACCACUUUGUGAUUCA